RNAcentral lists this ribosomal RNA (492 nucleotides) under uncultured bacterium. RNAcentral describes it as "partial 16S ribosomal RNA". It matches the Rfam family "Bacterial small subunit ribosomal RNA", at positions 29 to 507 of the family's 1533-position model. The record is from RNAcentral.
AGUGAACGCUGGCGGUAGGCCUAACACAUGCAAGUCGAACGGCAGCACAGUAAGAGCUUGCUCUUACGGGUGGCGAGUGGCGGACGGGUGAGGAAUACAUCGGAAUCUACUUUUUCGUGGGGGAUAACGUAGGGAAACUUACGCUAAUACCGCAUACGACCUACGGGUGAAAGCAGGGGAUCUUCGGACCUUGCGCGAUUGAAUGAGCCGAUGUCGGAUUAGCUAGUUGGCGGGGUGAAGGCCCACCAAGGCGACGAUCCGUAGCUGGUCUGAGAGGAUGAUCAGCCACACUAGAACUGAGACACGGUCCAGACUCCUACGGGAGGCAGCAGUGGGGAAUAUUGGACAAUGGGCGCAAGCCUGAUCCAGCCAUACCGCGUGGGUGAAGAAGGCCUUCGGGUUGUAAAGCCCUUUUGUUGGGAAAGAAAAGCAGCAGGUUAAUACCCCGCUGUUCUGACGGUACCCAAAGAAUAAGCACCGGCUAACUUCGUG